Molecule: ribosomal RNA, 279 nt
Filed under: uncultured bacterium
Lineage: Bacteria
Description: partial 16S ribosomal RNA
Rfam family: Bacterial small subunit ribosomal RNA
Source: RNAcentral
UGCCAGCCGCCGCGGUAAUACGAAGGGACCUAGCGUAGUUCGGAAUUACUGGGCGUAAAGCGCACGUAGGCGGAUUAGAAAGUUAGAGGUGAAAUCCCGGGGCUCAACCCCGGAACUGCCUUUAAAACUACUAGUCUAGAGUUCGAGAGAGGUGAGUGGAAUUCCGAGUGUAGAGGUGAAAUUCGUAGAUAUUCGGAGGAACACCAGUGGCGAAGGCGGCUCACUGGCUCGAUACUGACGCUGAGGGACGAAAGCGUGGGUAGCGAACAGGAUUAGAUA